UAAACCUGAAGAGAGCCCUGAAUC
Molecule: non-coding RNA, 24 nt
Filed under: Drosophila melanogaster (fruit fly)
Lineage: Eukaryota; Metazoa; Arthropoda; Insecta; Diptera; Drosophilidae
Source: RNAcentral